This is a non-coding RNA of Pelobates cultripes (western spadefoot toad), 229 nucleotides long. NCBI's taxonomy places the organism in Eukaryota, Metazoa, Chordata, Amphibia, Anura, Pelobatidae. The record is from the annotation of a GenBank genome assembly.
CCAAGUUUCCUUGUCUCCUCAUACUGCUCGAAGUUAAAAAACCAAGCUCUUUUUUCUGCCAUGGUCUCACUAUUAAAAAAAGGUGUGGUAGAAAGGAUUCCAACUUCCCAAGUAUAUCCGGGUGUAUACUCCCGGUUGUUCCUAGUCUCAAAACCGGACAUGUCUUUUCGUCCAAUCUUGGAUAUAAAAAAACCUGAACAAGCUCAUUCCUUACCAACAUUUCAGAAUG